AGAAAUAUGUCUGAUAAAAGAAUUAUCUUGAUAGGAUAAAUAAUAGGGGUGAAAGCCCCCUUAUUUCUA
RNAcentral lists this transfer RNA (69 nucleotides) under Isoodon macrourus (northern brown bandicoot). RNAcentral's name for it is "tRNA-Ile". Lineage: Eukaryota; Metazoa; Chordata; Mammalia; Peramelemorphia; Peramelidae. The record is from RNAcentral.